This 723-nucleotide ribosomal RNA is filed under the name fungal sp. Its description in RNAcentral is "SSU rRNA". It matches the Rfam family "Eukaryotic small subunit ribosomal RNA", at positions 167 to 900 of the family's 1831-position model. The record is from RNAcentral. Lineage: Eukaryota; Fungi.
AUACAUGCUAAAAAUCCCGACUUCGGAAGGGAUGUAUUUAUUAGAUUAAAAACCAAUGCCCUCUGGGCUCUCUGGUGAUUCAUGAUAACUUCUCGAAUCGCAUGGCCUUGCGCCGGCGAUGGUUCAUUCAAAUUUCUUCCCUAUCAACUUUCGAUGUUUGGGUAUUGGCCAAACAUGGUUGCAACGGGUAACGGAGGGUUAGGGCUCGACCCCGGAGAAGGAGCCUGAGAAACGGCUACUACAUCCAAGGAAGGCAGCAGGCGCGCAAAUUACACAAUUCCGACACGGAGAUGUAGUGACAAUAAAUACUGAUACAGGGCUCUUUUGGGUCUUGUAAUCGGAAUGAGUACAAUUUAAAUCUCUUAACGAGGAACAAUUGGAGGGCAAGUCUGGUGCCAGCAGCCGCGGUAAUUCCAGCUCCAAUAGCGUAUAUUAAAAUUGCUGAGGUUAAAAAGCUCGUAGUUGAACCUUGGGCCUGGCUGGCCGGUCCGCCUCACCGCGUGCACUGGUCCGGCCGGGCCUUUCCCUCUGUGGAACCCCAUGCCCUUCACUGGGUGUGGCGGGGAAACAGGACUUUUACUUUGAAAAAAUUAGAGUGCUCCAGGCAGGCCUAUGCUCGAAUACUUCAGCAUGGAAUAAUAAAAUAGGACGUGCGGUUCUAUUUUGUUGGUUUCUAGGACCGCCGUAAUGAUUAAUAGGGACAGUCGGGGGCAUCAGUAUUCA